UACAGAGACUGCAAGCGUUAUUCGGAUUCACUGGGCGUAAAGGGUGCGCAGGCGGUUGGGUGUGUCAGAUGUGAAAUCCCGAGGCUCAACCUCGGAACUGCGUCUGAAACUACUCGACUAGAGUACUGGAGAGGGAAACGGAAUUCACGGUGUAGCAGUGAAAUGCGUAGAUAUCGUGAGGAACACCAGAGGCGAAGGCGGUUUCCUGGACAGUUACUGACGCUCAGGCACGAAAGCAUGGGGAGCAAACAGG
RNAcentral lists this ribosomal RNA (253 nucleotides) under uncultured bacterium. Its description in RNAcentral is "partial 16S ribosomal RNA". It matches the Rfam family "Bacterial small subunit ribosomal RNA", at positions 524 to 776 of the family's 1533-position model. The record is from RNAcentral.